This 229-nucleotide ribosomal RNA is filed under the name uncultured bacterium. RNAcentral's name for it is "partial 16S ribosomal RNA". It matches the Rfam family "Bacterial small subunit ribosomal RNA", at positions 524 to 752 of the family's 1533-position model. The record is from RNAcentral.
UACGGAGGGUGCAAACGUUGCCCGGAAUCAUUGGGCGUAAAGCGCACGUAGGCGGCUCGUUAAGUCGGAUGUGAAAGCCCUGGGCUCAACCCAGGAAGUGCAUACGAAACUGGCGAGCUUGAGUAUGGAAGAGGGUCGCGGAAUUCCCGGUGUAGAGGUGAAAUUCGUAGAUAUCGGGAGGAACACCAGUGGCGAAGGCGGCGACCUGGGCCAAUACUGACGCUGAGGU